UAUGAUCACUGAGAUUAAGCAACAUCGAGCCUGGUCAGUACUUAGAUGAGUGACCACUUGGGAAUACCAGGUGCUGUAAG
This is a non-coding RNA of Acanthosepion pharaonis, 80 nucleotides long. The record is from the annotation of a GenBank genome assembly. Lineage: Eukaryota; Metazoa; Mollusca; Cephalopoda; Sepiida; Sepiidae.